RNAcentral lists this ribosomal RNA (116 nucleotides) under Pteropus alecto (black flying fox). The record is from RNAcentral. Lineage: Eukaryota; Metazoa; Chordata; Mammalia; Chiroptera; Pteropodidae.
GUCUAUGGCCAUGCCACCCUGAACAAGCCCGAUGUCUGAUCUCAGAAGCUAAGCAGGGUCGGGCCUGGUUAGUACUUGGAUAGGAGACUACCUGGGAAGACUGGGCACUGUAGGCA